This 497-nucleotide ribosomal RNA is filed under the name uncultured bacterium. Its description in RNAcentral is "partial 16S ribosomal RNA". It matches the Rfam family "Bacterial small subunit ribosomal RNA", at positions 28 to 507 of the family's 1533-position model. The record is from RNAcentral.
GAUGAACGCUGGCGGCGUGCCUAAUACAUGCAAGUCGAGCGAACAGACGAGGAGCUUGCCCCUCUGACGGUAGCGGCGGACGGGUGAGUAACACGUGGAUAACCUAACUAUAUGACUGGGAUAACUUCGAGACACCGGAGCUUAUACCGGAUAAUAUAUUGAACCGCAUGGUUCAAUAGUGAAAGACGGUUUUGCUGUUACUUAUAGAUGGUUCCGCGCCGCAUUAGCUAGUAGGUAAGGUAACGGCAUACCAAGGCAACGAUGGGUAGCCGACAUGAGAGGGUGGACGGCCACCCGACAAGUGAGGCACAGCCGACACACCUGCGGUGAGACACGGUACAGAAUCCUACGCGAGGGAGGAAAGCCUGAUGGAGCAACGUCGCGUGAGUGAUGAAGGUCUUCGGACGGGAAAACGCUGUUGUUAGGGAAGAACUAAAGCGUAAGUAACUAGGCAGGUAAUGACGGUACUUGAUCAGAAAGCCACGGCUAACUACGUG